CAGGCGAGCCCUGGCAGAAAGGGGAGUCAAUGAGAGGGAGGAGGCGCCUCUCUGGGAAUAAAUGCAACAUUUCCAAGAAGGAAAGCAGGAGCGCCAAGGUUGGGGUGGCUGUAGGGAGUUCAGGAAGUCUCCUUUCCCGGGCUUUUCUCUCCACCCAUCUGCUUCACUCCUUCACCUGUCCAGGUACAGAUUUGGGGCCACUCGCUUAACCUCUCUGUGCUUCAGUUUUCUCAUCUGAAGCAGGGACGAGGAAAGGGUUGUUGUGAGGGGAAAAUGACUCACUCUAUGUAAAGCAUCCAGCACAGCACAGAGGAGUGCUUAGCAUGUGUUAGCUGCUGCUGCUUCUCUGCGUGGCCUUUCCGUCUCUUCCGUCUACAAGGUGAAAAUACACCUGCUGACCCCAUCAGGGGUUUUCCCAAAACUUCCUUCAGAAAAACAAUCCAGGCUGUGGCUGAAUACCCCCUUGGUAACCUCGAGUUGCUGAAGCGUCCUUGGCCAGCCUGGGCAGGGAGGCCUUUGGCCAUAUGGCAGCCUGUUUCCUGUCCAAGGCUCUCUUUUCCAAACUCCUUCUUCAGCUGGAGAGGCCUCCAAUACUACCAAGGACACCCAGGCUUCAGAAUGACUUAUCUCCCCAUGCUGGGCCAACCCUGGCACCCUUCAAGAGAAAGAGAAGAGAAAGCAGAAAUCCCCUCAACUGUCAAAGAUAUUCUGCAUAGCAGCCUGAAGUGCCCAGGCACCCUCAAAAAGGUGUUUUGCAAAGUUUUCUGAUUACAAAUGUUAAUUGGUCUCUGUUCCUCACAAUACACAGAAAAGAAAAGUAGUCUAAGAAAUUACACUGCCUCCGUCUCACUGGAGUGUGCUUUCCUUAGCCAUUACGUUCAGUUUGGUUUCUUCGGGUUUGUUUAAUGUUUCCUCUCUGUGACCCACACGUGGCUGAGUUAUCCAUCUGCAACAUUAGAGAACUGAGCUAAGGCUGGAUUACUAUUAGAAAGAAAUAGUUUUCCACCGGAGCUGUGAAGGUCUCCAGGACCAGUUGGGCUCCCUUUGUGGGUCUCUGGAAGUUGUCCUGGCCUAUGAAUUCCUUAUCAGCCCCUGUAUCUCUCUAUAGCUGACGGCUAUGGCUACGUGGGUCUU
Molecule: long non-coding RNA, 1134 nt
Filed under: Sus scrofa (pig)
Lineage: Eukaryota; Metazoa; Chordata; Mammalia; Artiodactyla; Suidae
Description: lncRNA (ENSSSCG00025007706.1)
Source: RNAcentral